GUUUAAAUAGCUUAAAUUUAAAGCUUAGUAUUGAAGAUACUACAAUGAUUACAAAAUCUUUAAACA
This 66-nucleotide transfer RNA is filed under the name Panesthia angustipennis cognata. RNAcentral's name for it is "tRNA-Phe". Lineage: Eukaryota; Metazoa; Arthropoda; Insecta; Blattodea; Blaberidae. The record is from RNAcentral.